RNAcentral lists this ribosomal RNA (497 nucleotides) under uncultured bacterium. RNAcentral's name for it is "partial 16S ribosomal RNA". It matches the Rfam family "Bacterial small subunit ribosomal RNA", at positions 28 to 507 of the family's 1533-position model. The record is from RNAcentral.
GAUGAACGCUGGCGGCGUGCCUAAUACAUGCAAGUCGAGCGAACAGACGAUGAGCUUGCUCCUCUAACGUUAGCGGCGGACGGGUGAGUAACACGUGUAUAACCUACCUAUAAGACUGGGAUAACUUCGGGAAACCGGAGCUAAUACCGGAUAAUAUAUUGAACCGCAUGGUUCAAUAGUGAAAGACGGUUUUGCUGUCACUUAUAGCUGGAUCCGCGCCGCAUUAGCUAGUUGGUAAGGUAACAGCUUACCAAGGCAACGAUGCGUAGCCGGCCUGAGAGGGUGAUCGGCCACACUGGAACUGAGACACGGUCCAGACUCCUACGGGAGGCAGCAGUAGGGAAUCUUACGCAAUGGGCGAAAGCCUGACGGAGCAACGCCGCGUGAGUGAUGAAGGUCUUCGGAUCGUAAAACUCUGUUAUGAGGGAAGAACAAAUGUGUAAGUAAAUAUGCACGUAUUGACGGUACCUAAUCAGAAAGCAACGGCUAACUACGUG